RNAcentral lists this antisense RNA (91 nucleotides) under Martinezella rhizogenes. RNAcentral's name for it is "Agrobacterium rhizogenes ctRNA". The stretch from base 47 to 91 matches the Rfam family "ctRNA". The record is from RNAcentral. Lineage: Bacteria; Pseudomonadati; Pseudomonadota; Alphaproteobacteria; Hyphomicrobiales; Rhizobiaceae.
UUGACAGUGAUUCUCGGAAGUGCGAUUCUCUAGCUGCUAAACAUCGAGAAGGGCUUCCGUGACGGCGACGUUCGGGAGCUUUUUCUUUUGC